CCGACUACCUCAAAUCUAAGAAAUCACCAUGGAAGGCUGUCAAAUGUCCUGCUCGUUUUUUGGGUGCAAGAGGACCUACAACAGUCCAGAAGCACUGAAUAGUCAUCUUCAGGACCAUCAAAAGAACACUGCCCAGUCUCUUCCAGGGAAAGCUUUCCUGUGCUCUCAUAUAGGAUGCGAUGGUUCAUUCAACAACAUGCAGCAGCUAAUGGAACAUAUGAGACACCAUUACAAGCCAAAUUAUUUUUUCCUGUGCGAGAGCUGCAGGGCCAAACUGCGUUCUUAUCGCACUCUCCUCAAACACCUGCAGACCUGUGCCAAGGUUGCUAAGAACAAGGCUGCAGUAAAGAUAGAGACUGGAAUGGCACCUGACGCAGAGCCCGCCAGUGUUCCUCUCACUUCUGGUGACAUGGAACCAUCUGGACCCCUCUUAUCCCCAAAUGUGCCAGAGGAGAUGGAGUCUAUGCCAUCUAUGCCCACUUUGGCAACACAUUCAACACUGGCAAACAUGCCAGAAAACAGUGCUUUCACUAACCCAACCCCUGCAGGCCCUGCAACUUUGCUCCUUGCCACUCUAAAUCUCGCCUCAAACCAAAAUCUUCCUUGCAAACCAGAAUCCACCUACAGCCCUUUUCCACCCACUCUGUCUCCUGUUAACCCAGCCUUCCUGCCAGAUCCGGGCCUACAGCAGCAGCAGAGGUCUCCUAGAUCUGGUCCUCCCAGUCUGCCCUCUUCACCACCCCUGCCGUCAUCACCAGGAUCAAACGCUGUCUGGAGGAAGAACCAAGAACCGCCCGGGCCCCUUUUGCACAGAUGGAACUCUCCAAGCAGUCAGAGUUUAAGUAGAGAUGAAGUCCAGGUCAGUCCUUCAACUGCCGCAUCCUGUGGGAACACACAAGAGGGCGAUACAGCUGCCUACAGUGUGGCCACUGCACCCCAGACCGGGGGGAGAUGACUGCUCACAUUGAGGGCCAGCACAAGAACCCAGGGGGCAAAGUGAACGGUGAUCCUGAUACAGAGAUUGGCACUGCUUCUUUACUGGCUAAGACUUCACUGCACACUGAGAACUCAACUUAUACACAACUCUAGCAUGAAAUGAGACACGAAACCUGAUGCUUGACAAAUAACUUUUGUGAUCCCUUUUUAUAUAUGCAACUCAAUGUUUUCAUUUGACUGUCUGUGUGGACUUCAAGAAUCUCUAUUGGUCUGGAUGUUAUAAUAACAAUUAGCACCAAGUUCUGCA
RNA transcript from Rhinichthys klamathensis goyatoka, 1243 nucleotides. It is a transcript of the gene named zinc finger protein 414, with no coding region annotated. The transcript has 7 exons. Lineage: Eukaryota; Metazoa; Chordata; Actinopteri; Cypriniformes; Leuciscidae. The record is from RefSeq and is a predicted model, not a curated record.